Molecule: long non-coding RNA, 763 nt
Organism: Cyprinus carpio (common carp)
Lineage: Eukaryota; Metazoa; Chordata; Actinopteri; Cypriniformes; Cyprinidae
Source: RefSeq, a predicted model, not a curated record
AGGGCGUUGGAUUAUAAGACAUUUAGGAAUUAAUAAUGAAAUAGUUAUUAUUUCACACAAUUUCAAGUUUAUAAUCCAUAUUUUAUUGCAGUUGGCUAUAAUUAAAAAUGGAACUCCUGCAUCCAGAGGAGUGUGUGGCAGCUCAAGCUGAAGAAUGAAUACCACAUUAAAACCUGACUGCAGGAGAUGAUCAGAAUAAAGCAGGAGACAGAAGGCUUUCCUGAAGGUCUGCUAGAUGAGCUCUAAAGGUCAUUUCCACACACGUUUCUGCUGAACGCCUCCCGCACAUUUCUCCGAGAAGCGAAAGUGAAACAGCAGAGGCUUUAAACCCUCCAGUGUGUCUGUGCUCGUCCUGAAGCCUCUGCGAACACCAGGAGCUCGGAUAAACCGCUUUGAUUCCGUUAAUAAGACGCCACGGUGGAUUCUCCGAGCAAGAUUUAAUGCAGGAGGCUGUGGGAAAUCUGCUGACCUGAGAAGACCGGCUCAGAAAUGAUCUCUCAAGCUAUGACUUUCAUCAGCUGAUACUAAUGAAAGCACUUCAUUACAGGACAUUGUUUUAAAAGGAUGUUUUCUUGAAUCUGGCUCUGUGGUGGUUUCGUUUUUCAUCACUUGUCACUUGUUUAAUGUGUUUUCUUUAUUGCAUUUACUUGAUGCUUUUCUCUAAAGUGACUUAUUGAUCCAUAUGACGGGAUUCGGCUGUAAUGUUCUUUAUUCUCUUGCCUGAACAAAAAAAUAAAUAAACUGUUUUCCUCACUGAAUCAUA